RNAcentral lists this long non-coding RNA (534 nucleotides) under Lathyrus oleraceus (garden pea). Its description in RNAcentral is "Pisum sativum (pea) long non-coding RNA (PSAT_LNC008296)". The record is from RNAcentral. Lineage: Eukaryota; Viridiplantae; Streptophyta; Magnoliopsida; Fabales; Fabaceae.
UGUGCAGUUGAGUUCCCUUCAGGGUUUGGAGGCUGCUCUGAACUCCGUUAGCUCUUCUCUCACUAUCUUUUUCCAGCCAGUGUAAUAGGAAUAGAAUUUCCCUUUUGUUUCACUGAAACUCUGAAUUUAUAACUUGAUUUUUGUGGACCUGUGGGCUCAAAUGAGAGCGGUCCAAGUCCAAGAUUGUUUCUUUUAUUUAUUUAUUUAUUUUAUUUUAUUUUCUUUUUCUUUUUCUUUUUCUGUUUUUUUUUUCCGUUUUUUUUUCAAAACACGUGGGCUUCGCCUAGCGAGCAUGACAGCUCAUGAACAAACCUUUGCUCCUUCAAGAUUAACGUUUUGACUGAUGAAUAGACCCCUGUUGGAAGUAACUUAAGUCUUUCCCUUGUGUUGACUGAUCAUCUAAAUAGAGCCCACAAAGUGUCCUGGAUGAUGUUCAAGCUUCUUGGAUCCGAUUUCGAUUGCUAAAUGACCUAAAAAUGAAUGCAUGCAUGAGGUGUAAAGCGUAUGCUUCCAGGAAAAAUAAAGGGUAAAUUU